CCUACGGGUGGCAGCAGUGGGGAAUAUUGGACAAUGGGCGAAAGCCUGAUCCAGCCAUGCCGCGUGUGUGAAGAAGGCCUUCGGGUUGUAAAGCACUUUCAGUGGGGAAGAAAGCCUUGGGGCUAAUACCCUCGAGGAAGGACAUCACCCACAGAAGAAGCACCGGCUAACUCCGUGCCAGCAGCCGCGGGAAUACGGAGGGUGCGAGCGUUAAUCGGAAUUACUGGGCGUAAAGCGCGCGUAGGCGGUCUGAUAAGCCGGUUGGGAAAGCCCCGGGCUCAACCUGGGAACGGCAUCCGGAACUGUCAGGCUAGAGUGCAGGAGAGGAAGGUAGAAUUCCCGGUGUAGCAGUGAAAUGCGUAGAGAUCGGGAGGAAUACCAGUGGCGAAGGCGGCCUUCUGGACUGACACUGACGCUGAGGUGCGAAAGCGUGGGUAGCGAACAGGAUUAGAUACCCCAGUAGUC
This 465-nucleotide ribosomal RNA is filed under the name Vreelandella stevensii. RNAcentral describes it as "partial 16S ribosomal RNA". It matches the Rfam family "Bacterial small subunit ribosomal RNA", at positions 338 to 795 of the family's 1533-position model. Lineage: Bacteria; Pseudomonadati; Pseudomonadota; Gammaproteobacteria; Oceanospirillales; Halomonadaceae. The record is from RNAcentral.